This is a non-coding RNA of Mycena leptocephala, 90 nucleotides long. The record is from the annotation of a GenBank genome assembly. NCBI's taxonomy places the organism in Eukaryota, Fungi, Basidiomycota, Agaricomycetes, Agaricales, Mycenaceae.
GCCCUCGUGGAUCAUGGUAGAUCAUCUUCAUCCCAUAACAGAGGAUUAACAUCUCGGAAGAUGUCGUAGGUUCGAAUCCUACCGAGGGCA